GGCGGACGGGUGAGUAACGCGUGGGCAACCUGCCUCAUACUGGGGGAUAGCAGUUGGAAACGACUGAUAAUACCGCAUAAGCGCACAGCAUCGCAUGAUGCAGUGUGAAAAACUCCGGUGGUAUGAGAUGGGCCCGCGUCAGAUUAGCUAGUUGGUAAGGUAACGGCUUACCAAGGCGACGAUCUGUAGCCGGACUGAGAGGUCGGACGGCCACAUUGGGACUGAGACACGGCCCAAACUCCUACGGGAGGCAGCAGUGGGGGAUAUUGCACAAUGGAGGAAACUCUGAUGCAGCGACGCCGCGUGAGUGAAGAAGUAUUUCGGUAUGUAAAGCUCUAUCAGCAGGGAAGAAAGGCCCGCAAGGGAGAUGACGGUACCUGACUAAGAAGCCCCGGCUAACUACGUGCCAGCAGCCGCGGUAAUACGUGGGGGGCAAGCGUUAUCCGGAUUUACUGGGUGUAAAGGGAGCGCAGACGGCUGUGUAAGUCUGAAGUGAAACCCCACGGCUCAACCGUGGGCUUGCUUUGGAAACUAUAUAGCUAGAGUACUGGAGAGGUAAGCGGAAUUCCUAGUGUAGCGGUGAAAUGCGUAGAUAUUAGGAGGAACAUCGGUGGCGAA
Molecule: ribosomal RNA, 618 nt
Filed under: uncultured rumen bacterium
Lineage: Bacteria
Description: bacterial SSU rRNA
Rfam family: Bacterial small subunit ribosomal RNA
Source: RNAcentral